RNAcentral lists this ribosomal RNA (492 nucleotides) under uncultured bacterium. RNAcentral describes it as "partial 16S ribosomal RNA". It matches the Rfam family "Bacterial small subunit ribosomal RNA", at positions 29 to 507 of the family's 1533-position model. The record is from RNAcentral.
AGUGAACGCUGGCGGUAGGCCUAACACAUGCAAGUCGAACGGCAGCACAGUAAGAGCUUGCUCUUACGGGUGGCGAGUGGCGGACGGGUGAGGAAUACAUCGGAAUCUACUUUUUCGUGGGGGAUAACGUAGGGAAACUUACGCUAAUACCGCAUACGACCUACGGGUGAAAGCAGGGGAUCUUCGGACCUUGCGCGAUUGAUUGAGCCGAUGUCGGAUUAGCUAGUUGGCGGGGUAAAGGCCCACCAAGGCGACGAUGCGUAGCUGGUCUGAGAGGAUGAUCAGCCACCCUGGAACUGAGACACGGUCCAGACUCCUACGGGAGGCAGCAGUGGGGAAUAUUGGGCAAUGGGCGAAAGCCUGAUCCAGCCAUACCGCGUGAGUGAAGAAGGCCUUCGGGUUGUAAAGCCCUGUUGUUGGGAAAGAAAAACAGCAGGUUAAUACGCCGAUGUUCUGACGGUACCAAAAGAAUAAGCACCGGCUAACUUCGUG